RNAcentral lists this long non-coding RNA (295 nucleotides) under Gallus gallus (chicken). Its description in RNAcentral is "lncRNA (ENSGALG00010017900.1)". Lineage: Eukaryota; Metazoa; Chordata; Aves; Galliformes; Phasianidae. The record is from RNAcentral.
GGCUGCUUUGAGUUUUAAGCAGCAAGAUGUUUUUCCUUGUGCAUUCCCUUCUGGAAAGGAUUCAUCCAUGCAGAAGAGCUCAGAGUGUAUUCUGGAGAUGGGACCUGCUUCCCACCAGUGCCCAUGAGACGCUCGUUCUGUUGGAAGGGAUGAAGGCAAGAAGCCAUCCUCUCCCAGGGACUGACCUACCUUUUCCACAACCCCUUUCAGAAAACAUACCACUGGAUACCCUCCCUUAUCAUAGCUGCUCCAAUCCUGCUUUAAGUUAGGAAUAAUUCUGGCGUGCCUUCCAAAG